CGAUAUGGGGCCGUCAUCGGUUCGGUGCAGGGCUCAGACCUGCCCCGAAGAAAUAGGGAAUGCGGUGAGGUGUAGCCAUCAGGCGCCGAACCCGCAGCUGCCCCCGCAACUGUGAGCGGAGAGUGACACCGAAGAAGCCACUGGGGCCCUGCAUGGCCCUGGGAAGGUCGGUGGAACGACGACCCGCGAGCCAGGAAACCUGCCGAGGACUCGUGGCCGCG
RNAcentral lists this non-coding RNA (221 nucleotides) under Phaeovulum vinaykumarii. The record is from RNAcentral. Lineage: Bacteria; Pseudomonadati; Pseudomonadota; Alphaproteobacteria; Rhodobacterales; Paracoccaceae.